GUGUGAUAUGAUGCCAUACCAUCUUUCGGGACUGACUCUUGAACUGGAGAGUUCUUGUAUGUUACUGAUCACUU
Molecule: small nucleolar RNA, 74 nt
Filed under: Monopterus albus (swamp eel)
Lineage: Eukaryota; Metazoa; Chordata; Actinopteri; Synbranchiformes; Synbranchidae
Description: Small nucleolar RNA SNORD2 (ENSMALG00000007077.1)
Rfam family: Small nucleolar RNA SNORD2
Source: RNAcentral